Oryza brachyantha (malo sina) is the source of this 1907-nucleotide long non-coding RNA. RefSeq lists it as uncharacterized. NCBI's taxonomy places the organism in Eukaryota, Viridiplantae, Streptophyta, Magnoliopsida, Poales, Poaceae. The record is from RefSeq and is a predicted model, not a curated record. The transcript is spliced from 3 exons.
UCGUACUCCCUCCCGUGCGCCGCCUCCCCCCGAAACCCUAGCCGCCGCAGUCGUCGCCGUCGGGCCGCCGCCAGACCGCUGCCGAAUCCUCCUCCUCCCUCCCGUGCGCCACCGGCGCACCGGCCGGUGCGCCCGUGCGGCCGCCCGGCAGGCUGGCCCCCGCAGCCCAGGUCGGCCACCUCUACCGAACCCUCCUCCUACCGUGCGCCAGCCAGCGGGGCGGCGCGGCCGGGCCGGCGCGGCCGUGCGGCCAGCCGGCACCCACGCCCGCGGGUGAGCCACCAAGCCGGACGGCGAUGCCCCACGCCGCCUAAACUCGCCGCCUGACUCCGCCGCCUCGCCGCCCGACUGGACCGCCGGCGACAGUCCUAGGCCGAGCCUGGCCGCAAGCGCCCAGGCCGCCGCCGGCGACGACUCCUUGACGCUCCCCCGGCGGCGCGCGCGACAGCACUCCCUCCACCACCGCCAGCCGCACAGCAGCAGUAGAUCCAUGGAAGCUUGGUCCGGCGACAGCCCCGCCUGCUCCGGCGGCCUCCCCGCCGCCUGGGUCGUCGGCCUCCCAUCUGCAUCCCCUACUGUUCAUUCAAUGAAAGAAGAAAAGAACUGGAGCACUGGAUUUAUUUCACUCGGCUUUUCCCAUGGGGAUGAAUGAACAAGAAGACUGCUUUAGUUCAUGAAUGCAUUCAUACUUUCACAGCUCAAUAAACUGAAGCCAGAUACUUUGAAUAUGUUCUGAUAAUUUACUGAUUAAUUUGGGAAUUUUUCUGAUUUUUUCUGAAUAUGUCCUUGGCAUCGUGAGCUCGCACGUGGACAUGGACUCAUGGAGCUCCUGGCCAGCAAACCAUGGGUGCUAAGGUAUGGCAUGGGCUGUCAUUCCAGUUCGCAGACGCAUCGUUCUUUCAGUACAGCUAUAGUCCUUUUUUGUCUCACAGAACAUAGAUGUGUUCCUGGAUAGAAUGGAAGCAGGCACACCCGUGUUUUUUUAGUCAUUUCAUGAUUAAACAGCUAAUGUAAGUUUUCAUCAUUAUCAUCUUUAUGUCACGUUACCUAUGGGCUGAACUGUACUCAACUUCUUUUCCUAUCAUUGCAGCAGAUGCUUUAUUUAUUUAAAUAAAUCAUAGCAUUGGCCAUUCAUCACAAUAUUUACACUGCUAAAUUAAUUUUUAGCAUUCAAGCAUUGAGCUCAAAUUCUGUGUGAUUGUUUGGGAGAUUUUAUAAGGCAGCUAGGGUGAAAUGAUAUAAUGUUUUCAGUAAACUCAAAACUGUACAUGCUUCACUCUUUAAUGAAAUUAGUUGGCCCGGUCUGGGCUUCCCUGGCAAAAGAAAUGAUAUAUGUUCAAUGCUGCAUUUGUGCCUUAGGCUGGAGCGACAAGAAUGUUGUUUAGUUAUUAAAAACUCAUAAUCGUAGUACUAAUUCCUUAUGCUGUAGUACUAAUUCUUGCUUCAGUUCCAAAUAUUUCUAAAACUCAUAAUUCUAGUUUGCUUCUAACUACAGAGGGAUGGGGGCACUGAAAACAGUAAAAACUCAACAUCUUUUGUAACUUGCAGGGCUUCUUCAUGUGUCUUGUUCAGGGCUUCAGGUACAUAUAAUGUCAGUGCAAAUGCAGAUGUGAUCACAGAAAAUGGAUGUUAAGGGUACACAUUCAAGACUUGUACUAUACAGUGCAACUGUGUGAGUGUACGCAUGCAAGUACAGGAUCAGCUGAACUUGGAGCAAAAGAUGAUUACUCAGUAUUUUUAUCCCAUCGAUGGAUCCAGAGGCAAAUAGCUCUAGUCUUGUAUUUAGAAAUUAUGCAUGUAUUGAGACUAAUCCUAUGUAUCCAUGUAAAUUAAAAUUACUUUAUUCUGAGGCAAUCCAAUUUGUUACGUUGAUUUGUGUUGUGAGCCAUACGAUACUUAUAAUAGAU